GACGAACGCUGGCGGCGUGCUUAACACAUGCAAGUCGAACGGUAAGGCCCUUCGGGGUACACGAGUGGCGAACGGGUGAGUAACACGUGGGUGAUCUGCCCUACACUUCGGGAUAAGCCUGGGAAACUGGGUCUAAUACCGGAUAGGACUCCGGACUGCAUGGUCUGGGGUGGAAAGCUUUUGCGGUGUGGGAUGGGCCCGCGGCCUAUCAGCUUGUUGGUGGGGUGAUGGCCUACCAAGGCGAUGACGGGUAGCCGGCCUGAGAGGGUGACCGGCCACACUGGGACUGAGAUACGGCCCAGACUCCUACGGGAGGCAGCAGUGGGGAAUAUUGCACAAUGGGCGCAAGCCUGAUGCAGCGACGCCGCGUGAGGGAUGACGGCCUUCGGGUUGUAAACCUCUUUCAGCAUCGACGAAGCGAAAGUGACGGUAGGUGCAGAAGAAGGACCGGCCAACUACGUGCCAGCCGCCGCUGUAA
RNAcentral lists this ribosomal RNA (478 nucleotides) under uncultured bacterium. RNAcentral's name for it is "partial 16S ribosomal RNA". It matches the Rfam family "Bacterial small subunit ribosomal RNA", at positions 28 to 523 of the family's 1533-position model. The record is from RNAcentral.